CUUUUCUGUGAAGGGAGUAGGACACUUCUUCAGUUUCUCUGCAAUUUCUCACAUGGAAUAGCUUUCAGAAUCAGCUUUAUUCGCCAAGCAGAACCUCUGUUCUGUAUCUGAAGUGGGAGACCCCACGUAAGGUAACGGCACGGAUACUGAUACAGCGAUGUUGCUGCAGUCCUGUCAGUCUGACUACAACUCUAUACUCGAGAUGAAGAAGACCACAGAUAAAGGACUGUUAUGCCUUUUUGUAUCUUUAUAUACAUUGUUUUGUAAUGUUGAAAACAGAUGCUGUGCAUCCUAUGGAUUUAGUUUUUUUACACUGUUGGGAAGAAAAUGCCUCAAUAGAACUCAAACCCCUACAGCUGCAACGGAACUGAGACAGUCAGCUUGUUUUUCAUGGUGGAGAAGAUUGUUAUUUGCACAAGUUAUGUUUGAAUGUGUAAUAUUAAAAAGGUAUUCAACAAA
Molecule: long non-coding RNA, 459 nt
Organism: Osmerus eperlanus (European smelt)
Lineage: Eukaryota; Metazoa; Chordata; Actinopteri; Osmeriformes; Osmeridae
Exons: 2
Source: RefSeq, a predicted model, not a curated record